Molecule: RNA transcript, 3402 nt
Organism: Schistocerca gregaria
Lineage: Eukaryota; Metazoa; Arthropoda; Insecta; Orthoptera; Acrididae
Gene name: elongation factor 1-beta-like
Exons: 3
Source: RefSeq, a predicted model, not a curated record
AACUUCAGUGAGAGUGUGCCUAAUCUCGUUCAGAUGUGAGUUCUGAUACUCUUUGUCACAGGUUUUCAUUCAUACACCUGCCUUCCUUCCCGGAACAGUUUGUACCAUUUUAGUUGCCCACCUGCUUCACCAUGAAUAUCUCUACGUACCUUUCCAGGCUUCCAAAAAGUACCCGUGAGGAGCUCCUCAAACAGCCACAUUGCUGCCUGGCACUUUUUAAAAAUUUAAGCGAGCAAGAUCGCCUCCUCGUACUACAUCUUAUGGUCUCUCCCCUCCCGUAUUCUACCCUCUGUUCAAGUCCCGAUAAAUUAUCGCCGAAUUUAUAUCUACCGCCGACAAAGGAGAAGGCAGACAUCGCAUUUCCCGCAAUUUCUAUCUCAAACACUGAAAAGGAUUUUUGCUCAAUGAAGGAAAAAAAUGAAUUCAAAGUUGCUCAAGACAAUUUCGUCCUCGUAGAGCUUCAAAUAAUAACGCCACUGUCGAAUAACAACUUGCUUGUUAUUGAGAAUGGCUAUGUCUCUCUAGAAGAAAUUUUUCGCGUAACGCUGUAUCGAGCUUUUCAAACUGUUCCAAUUAAACCUGUAGUUUUAGACAGUAAGAUACAGAAAUCAUAUGUUGACUCACCGACACUUUUGGAAUAUUGUAAGAGUAAGUGGGAGUAUAUUAUUAUGCCGCUAGUGGAGCUUGCCUUACCCGAUAAUAAAUUCUUUCAGAUAUUCGGAAAAGCAAACCGAUCAACAAAAUUAGAUAAAAAGCUCUACCAGUUAUAUAGAGAUUCUAAGCUGAUAGACGAUUCUGGUACCUCUCAACUGUCUCUUGUAACAAGCGGGUAUAAAUUUUUGCUGUCCGAUAUUUCGUCGCAGCUAUGGCUACUCUUGUCUAAUUGGAUUUCUAAUCACAUCGAUGUAUCUAUUCAGGCUAAAAUCGUCGACUUUCUUAUAUACCUAUCCACAGUCUUGUCUCAAAGUGUGGUCUAUUCCGUUAACCAAUUCUCAACUCAGCAGCAACAGUUUUUGCAAGACUUGGAAUUUUUUGGUUUUGUUUACUUUUUAAAAACGGAUGACCAGCUGACACAUUUUUGUACAACACCACUUUGUACUCAGAUCUUUGAAGAGUCAAGCAAACAAGAUAGAAAUGUCUCAGACUUCGGAAACUGGUUAGGAGGAAUUCUAGUCGAGUCGAAUUUCUAUUUAUACGCAUAUACAGAUUCUCUAGCCGUAAUUGCAUCUAUAGCUCUUUUCGCUGAAAUUUUGCAUAGACUUCCAAACCUUUGUACUGCUAAAAUUACGAGAAAAAGUGUCAAUUCCGCGUUUAAACUCGGUAUUCAUGCUAAGCAUAUUAUUGAUUACCUUUAUAUGAAUAGACGCACUGUCUCUUCAGAUCAAUUGGUUGGAUUACAAGCAACAGAAAAUGAGUUGUCACUGACGUUUCCCGGAUCAGGGACUAGUUUGCAUGAGGACGAGGAACUAAAACAAAUGUUUUUGGGAUCUGACCGCAGCUCCCGGGUGACACAGCAAGUUGAAGAGCAAUUGUUAUUUUGGGAAGAAGAGCGGUUUCGGUUUGAAUGGCAUUACGCUAUUUGGUGGGAAUUUGAACCUAGCGAUCACCCAGAGCUAUAUCAGUCGAUCAAAGAGCAUGCUGAAAUGCUCGGCUACUUAUUGUGGAAUGGAGAUGAUAAGCAGAAGGUUUUAUGUAUAAAAAAAAUAGGCCAUAAUUCACUCGUCGAAUUCUAUUACAAGUUAAAGAGCCGUCUAGAAUAAUUUGGUUUCUUAUUUGGCUGCAUUGUUAAGAAAAACAUUUCUCUGGCUCUUGAGAGGUUCAAUGAAAACGCAAGAGUCGUUUUUUUAAUACAGCCAAAAAUUGUCUUUCUUCGUGAUAUAUAUACGUAAAGUAUAACUUCAAACAGCAACUUUGGUUUGAAAUAUCUGAAAUAGAUUAAAUAUCAAACGAACAGCAAUAUGUAAUACCAUCAUUCACUUACAUGUGUAUUGGAAAGUUCCUUUGGCAGAUAUGUUUUGUGGCUGUAGAGCAAGUCAAACAUUCUUUUUUCGUUCGAUGAAUAAAAGUAGUACAUCUAAAAUAACAAUCAAUGGUAAUUUGAUGUGAAAGAAGAGUAAAUUGGCUUUUUUUUUAAAUGCAAAUUUCUGCCGAAAGUACUCAGAAGAGCUCUCUGUCGAUUGAUUGCUAUAUGCCAUCCGUCAUGCGAGGAACUGGUUUAUGAAUAUCUGGUUGAGGAGCCUGACAGUUUAAGUUGUAGCAUUCAGUAACUACUAUUAUCUGUAUUCCUUGGCCAAUGUCAACCCCUGGAUUAAUACUUGAGCGAGUACACCUGAAAGGUGAGUAGAAGGAGUCCGAAAACUGCAUUUUCUUUGUUGCGGUGACGGGUAUAGAUGGAAAAGAGCAGAAAGAUCUGCGCAAUGAUGAAACCAGUAUAAAAUUUGUUCGAAGGAGAUUAAAAUCUUUUACUUCUUCGAGUUACAGUUAUAGAUGGCAUGUAGAAAUUGGCAAAAACUGUAAACUUUUUUUUCAGCUGCUUGUUGUGGCGCUGCUUUUUCAGAACUAAGAUAUUGCCUCUAAAGAAAAUACGGGUAAAUAUAAUCCGAGUGCACGUAUUAAAGAAUAAUUUGUUAAGACAGUUGUUUGGCUCUUUCUCUUUUGGAGAACUGGUGCCUAGAUGCGAUAACAAGAAUCGGCGUCUAUUACCAAAUAUCAGUUCGAUGGAAUACGAAAAAAAAGUAAAUCGAGAAAACUUCUGCCGAGUUGGCAAGGCUAGAAUUCGAAUGCAAAUACGAGAGAAUGCUGGUUGAAGAAAGUUGAACUCACAUGCCUGGUUUCUGGUUUAACCGGAGCUUGGGAUCAAAAUGCAAAUGCAUGUAAAAGGUGCGGAAGGGAUCCGGAGAAUUGAUGAAAAGAGGGGAUCAGAAAAAAUAUUUUAAAAAAAAUAUUAGGGGCGCAAAUCAAACAUUGUUUUACCCAUUUUUUGAUUUCAAUUCGUUCAACACAUGUCUAAAUUUCUUCCUCUCAAUAACAAUCAGGCAUUUGGAAAAUUAAAUGGGCAUUUAGCCAAUGAAUCGUAUAUUACAGGGUAUCAGCCAACUUCUGAUGAUGCUUUAGUUUUUAAAGAAAUGGGGAAGGCCCCAGAAGAGAAAUGGACACACAUCCUCCGUUGGUACAAUCACAUUUCUCAUUUUAAAGAUUCGAUCAAUUCUUGGCCUAAACCAGCCGAGGUAAAUCAGUCGGAAGCUGAUGGAGAAGACAUAGACCUCUUCGGAGAAGAGACAGAAGAAGAAAAGGCAGCAAAUGAAAGCCGCAAGCAGGCAGCAAAAGCUAAGCCAGCUAAGGCUCCAGUCAUAGAAAGGUCCGCCAUCAUAUUGGAUGUCAAGCCUUGGGGCGAAGAAGUAG